Molecule: ribosomal RNA, 481 nt
Filed under: uncultured bacterium
Lineage: Bacteria
Description: partial 16S ribosomal RNA
Rfam family: Bacterial small subunit ribosomal RNA
Source: RNAcentral
GACGAACGCUGGCGGCGUGCUUAACACAUGCAAGUCGAACGAUGAAGGAGAGCUUGCUCUCCGGAUUAGUGGCGAACGGGUGAGUAACACGUGACUAACCUGCCCCUUUCUCUGGGAUAACGCUCCGAAAGGAGUGCUAAUACCGGAUACGAACUCUAAACACAUGUUCGGAGUUGGAAAGUUUUUCGGAAAGGGAUGGAGUCGCGGCCUAUCAGCUUGUUGGUGAGGUAACGGCUCACCAAGGCGACGACGGGUAGCCGGCCUGAGAGGGCGACCGGCCACACUGGGACUGAGACACGGCCCAGACUCCUACGGGAGGCAGCAGUGGGGAAUAUUGCACAAUGGGCGAAAGCCUGAUGCAGCGACGCCGCGUGAGGGAUGAAGGUCUUCGGAUUGUAAACCUCUUUCAGUAGGGACGGAGCGAAAGUGACGGUACCUAAAGAAGAAGCACCGGCUAACUACGUGCCAGCAGCCGCGGUAA